Geobacillus sp. Y4.1MC1 is the source of this 157-nucleotide non-coding RNA. The record is from Rfam. NCBI's taxonomy places the organism in Bacteria, Bacillati, Bacillota, Bacilli, Caryophanales, Anoxybacillaceae.
AAAUGAAUAUCAUUUGUACCGUAGACAGUAGGUGCUCUUGUGGAGCUUAAUAUCCUACCGAGGUAUUUCAUUGAUAGAAAAACGCGUUUUAUCGCAUAGGCGCGUUUUUAUAUGGUACCUCCAUGUCUACGCGGCAUGGAGGUUUUUUGUUGAUGCG